This 396-nucleotide ribosomal RNA is filed under the name uncultured bacterium. RNAcentral's name for it is "partial 16S ribosomal RNA". It matches the Rfam family "Bacterial small subunit ribosomal RNA", at positions 523 to 918 of the family's 1533-position model. The record is from RNAcentral.
AUACGUAGGGAGCGAGCGUUGUCCGGAAUUACUGGGUGUAAAGGGAGCGUAGGCGGGAGUGCAAGUCAGAUGUGAAAUACAUGGGCUCAACCCAUGGGCUGCAUUUGAAACUGCAUUUCUUGAGUGAAGUAGAGGUAAGCGGAAUUCCUGGUGUAGCGGUGAAAUGCGUAGAUAUCAGGAGGAACACCGGUGGCGAAGGCGGCUUACUGGGCUUUUACUGACGCUGAGGCUCGAAAGCGUGGGGAGCAAACAGGAUUAGAUACCCUGGUAGUCCACGCUGUAAACGAUGAUUACUAGGUGUGGGGGGACUGACCCCUUCCGUGCCGCAGUUAACACAAUAAGUAAUCCACCUGGGGAGUACGGCCGCAGGGUUGAAACUCAAAGGAAUUGACGGGG